Long non-coding RNA from Colossoma macropomum (tambaqui), 197 nucleotides. RefSeq lists it as uncharacterized. The transcript has 3 exons. The record is from RefSeq and is a predicted model, not a curated record. NCBI's taxonomy places the organism in Eukaryota, Metazoa, Chordata, Actinopteri, Characiformes, Serrasalmidae.
AUUUGUUACUGGCUUCAUCGGUGUGCAGUGUCCUUUCAACAAGCUGCUACUGUAUACUCUGCUGUUCGCUUUGCAGAAAGAGAAAAAAGACAGUCAGAAGAGCUCAGGAGGCAGUGAUGAAUCCAGCAUAUCAAGCAGGAGAUGCAGAGCUGGAAGAAACAUUACACAGUGUGUGAUGCUCAAGUGACCACUUUCAU